AUGCCUACCAAGGUAAUGGAUACCAAGAGACUGCUGAGGAGGAGAAAAGUAGUGCUGAGGGCUUUAAUGAUGGGUGAAGAGGAGUCAGAGGCAGCACUGCCUUCCUGUUCUUAUCCUGUGAACCUAGAGAAUGCUCACUUAUUAAGAGAUGAGAAUAAAAGAGGCAUCAACAGCUACACUCUGAGGAAGUAAUUGGCUUCAUGACCAGAGGGGUUGUAGGAGAUAAGAUAUAUCUUGCUGUUAGAAAUGGAUUUGACAUUGUUCCAUAUUGCAAGCAAACAAUAGAAUAGAGUCUAGAGGCAAAGUGAAAAAUGACUCCCAUAGAUGAGUUACCAAUGUUCUGCUUCAAACUGAGAGGAAUUCUAAGUUAGGUUCCAGCAGAGUCUGUCCUGAGGUCAUUUCCAUUCAAUAUUAUAAUUAAGCACUUGGAUAGCAGAAAGGAGAAUGUGCUUACAAAAUUUAUGAGUAAGAACACGCUGGAAGAGAGGGCAAGUACUGUGAAGGGCAGAACUAUCGGAACAAAUUGGAAUCAUGGUCGACAAUCAGCAAGAUAAAUUCAGUUUAAUAGAGCUGGAGAACCAACGCUUAUGAAGCAGGAAUGAGACACACAAAAACAAAAUAAGGAAUGACCAUCAGCCAGCUACACAGCAGAAGGAAUCCAGAGUUUUCCUGGAUAGCAAGAUAAAUAUAAACCAAUAAUACAAUAGUGUCACAAAAGACACUAUGAAAUAAUGUGUUUUGGG
Molecule: long non-coding RNA, 743 nt
Filed under: Anas platyrhynchos platyrhynchos (common mallard)
Lineage: Eukaryota; Metazoa; Chordata; Aves; Anseriformes; Anatidae
Description: lncRNA (ENSAPLG00000027031.1)
Source: RNAcentral